ACAGUGAAACUGCGAAUGGCUCAUUAAAUCAGUUAUCGUUUAUUUGAUAGUACCUUACUACUUGGAUAACCGUGGUAAUUCUAGAGCUAAUACAUGCUAAAAACCUCGACUUCGGAAGGGGUGUAUUUAUUAGAUAAAAAACCAAUGCCCUUCGGGGCUCCUUGGUGAUUCAUGAUAACUUAACGAAUCGCAUGGCCUUGUGCCGGCGAUGGUUCAUUCAAAUUUCUGCCCUAUCAACUUUCGAUGGUAGGAUAGUGGCCUACCAUGGUUUCAACGGGUAACGGGGAAUUAGGGUUCUAUUCCGGAGAGGGAGCCUGAGAAACGGCUACCACAUCCAAGGAAGGCAGCAGGCGCGCAAAUUACCCAAUCCCGACACGGGGAGGUAGUGACAAUAAAUACUGAUACAGGGCUCUUUUGGGUCUUGUAAUUGGAAUGAGUACAAUUUAAAUCCCUUAACGAGGAACAAUUGGAGGGCAAGUCUGGUGCCAGCAGCCGCGGUAAUUCCAGCUCCAAUAGCGUAUAUUAAAGUUGUUGCAGUUAAAAAGCUCGUAGUUGAACCUUGGGCCUGGUUGGUCGGUCCGCCUCGCGGCGUGCACUGAUCCGACCGGGCCUUUCCUUCUGGGGAACCGCAUGCCCUUCAUUGGGUGUGUUGGGGAUCCAGGACUUUUACUUUGAAAAAAUUAGAGUGUUCAAAGCAGGCAUAUGCUCGAAUACAUUAGCAUGGAAUAAUAGAAUAGGACGUGUGGUUCUAUUUUGUUGGUUUCUAGGACCGCCGUAAUGAUUAAUAGGGAUAGUCGGGGGCAUCAGUAUUCCGUUGUCAGAGGUGAAAUUCUUGGAUUUACGGAAGACUAACUACUGCGAAAGCAUUUGCCAAGGAUGUUUUCAUUAAUCAGUGAACGAAAGUUAGGGGAUCGAAGACGAUCAGAUACCGUCGUAGUCUUAACCAUAAACUAUGCCGACUAGGGAUCG
This 969-nucleotide ribosomal RNA is filed under the name Thelebolus sp. RNAcentral describes it as "SSU rRNA". It matches the Rfam family "Eukaryotic small subunit ribosomal RNA", at positions 78 to 1055 of the family's 1831-position model. Lineage: Eukaryota; Fungi; Ascomycota; Leotiomycetes; Thelebolales; Thelebolaceae. The record is from RNAcentral.